GCCAAGUCCAAAAAUAUAUAGUAGGCUACAUAUAAUAAAUUUAGUUCUUUAAGUGUGUGUGAAUGCUAAUAAUUUUUUUCUGCUCACAAGGAAACAAACGACCGUAUGACAGGGAGUUCUUCAGCUUUCUGCUGGAGAAGGUUUUGGCCAAAGACAAAGAAAAGGGAAAAUCUGUCAAAUUGGUGCUGAAUACACCCAAGAAACGCCAAAAAGCCAGAGGAAAGAAAGCUGCAAAGAGUAAAGAACAAUGCCUCACUGUUUUCAGUGAUGAUGAAGACUUUAACAUGGAGGAUGGAGACCAUAUGGAAGCAGAAAAGGAAAAUGAAGAUCUUCCUAAUGUGAAUGACGCUGAGGCGUCAGUCCCUGCCAAAAAGAAGCGCAAGCGUACAAGAACUGUUGGUGAGGGUACAGACAAGGAGGAUUGCUGUGAGGAUCAAGACAGCAAGAAAACAAAAAAGAGUAAACGAACCAAGAAGAGCAAAAAAGAAGUGCCCUCUCCUGAAGAUGAUUCUGAAGGUGUUCAUAUAGUCGACGACUCUGUUAGUGCUGAUAAAGAGAAUGAGCCUGACUUGAGUGCAUCUGCUCUUAAAAAGAAACGUAAACGCUCGAAGAAGACUGAAGAGGAGAAGCAGGAUGAAACACCAGUUGAAGGAAGCAAGAGCAAAAGAAGCAAAAAGUCCCUUAAAGUUAACGACAGCCUUGAAGAUACCACCAGUGCUAAUGCAGAAAGCAGCAUUGUGGAUGACGGUGACUCUGUGGCAAGAACAAAGAAGCGUAGACGCUCUCAGAAAGCUGACCUGAAAGAAGACACGCCUUCCACUGAGAAAAGCAGCAGAAAGAAGAAGUCGCAGAAAGGAACAGUCACAAAUGAGAGACCUGCAGAAGAUGGAGAAGCCAAAGUAGCUGCAGAAGAUGGAGAAGCCAAAGUAGCUGCAGAAGAUGGAGAAGCCAAAGUUGCUGCAGAAGAUGGAGAAGCCAAAGUUGCUGCAGAAGAUGGAGAAGCCAAAGUUGCUGCAGAAGAUGGAGAGGUUUCAGAAACGAAAAAAAUGGAUACCAUCAGUUCAGCUAAAGAGAAGGAUAAGGCUCCAAAAAGAUCUACCAAGCAACCUAAGAAACCAACACCUAAUUUAACUAAAAGGAGAGUUUUGAAGCCUUCUGAAUCAGAAACCACAGCCAAAACUGAUGAGAAGCUUCAAGAGAGUCAAAUUGAAGAGAACAGUGAAGCUGUUGUGGAGAGGGAGAGCAGGCCUUUAGAAUUCGAUAAACUUGAGAAACAGGCGGUGGUUCCAGUGGAAAAGACUCCUCCAAGGAUUGCAAACCUGUCUAGCCCUUCUAAAGUCAGACACAAAAGCAAUGAAGAAUCUGAGGAUCCUCCUGCUCCUCCAGCUGACGGUGAGAGUUCCUCUGGCCAGCAGUUACGGAGGCGAAGAGCAGAAAGAGUGAAGCGCAGUUUGACAACUGAGGAAAAGAAGAAGAAGAAGGGGAAAAGAAAAGCAGUGACGGAUCAGGAUGAGUCUGAGCAUGAUCUAGGAGCCUCAGCAGAGGAUAUGAGGAGUCCAACAGAUCUGCUGGAGGAAAUGGUUUCUCAAAGAUCUGAGGAGACAGAAGAUGGGAGCCUCUUGGACGAGAACCUGAUUGACUUCUCAUGUCUUCAUCAUUUAAACAGUCCAGUUUCCCAAAGAAAGCCAAUGGUGGUGUUAUCUCGUGAAGACGUGUCCAUGAUCCUUAAUGUUGAGAACCCAACAGAUGAAGAGGAUCCAUCUGUGAGUCCACUGGAUUUGUCACUGAACACAGAGCUGUCCUUUCCUCUCCAGUGCAGCAAUCUUCUCAUGGAGGAGAAUGCUGAAGCAGCUCAGGUUGAGCCUGGGGUUGAUGAACACGAGGAUGCUCCUCAGGAAACACCAUCAAGUAGUUUUGCCUUGGAGGAGAAGCAAUAUGAAGACUUGGGACUAACAGAGCUUUUAUCGGGCUGGCCUGCUAACUCAACUACAGGAAACCUUCCCUCUUUGGCAUCAGAUGAUGUUCCAACAUCAGCAAAGGAUCUUAAAGGCUAUCCACAUGCCGCAGAUCUUGAGACCAUGCCUUCUAAGUAUUCCGUCUACACCAAAUCUGAAGCACCUGAGCCUCUUGAAGUUGUGAAACAAGGUGCUUCAAUGCCAUACCAAGGAACAAUGGUGCAAUCAAAUACCUGUAUGAUGGAAACCUCAGAAAUUAAAGAGCGAUCUCAAGAAUCUGUUGUGGCAACCUCUAAAGUCAUGACAAGAUCUCAAGGCUCGGUGAAGAUAACACCAGAAAUCAAGGAAGUACCUCAAGAGUCUUUUGUGGAAACCUCUAAAAUCAUUAUGAGAUCUCGAAGCUCUAUAACUGUAACACCGGGAGCCUCUGAAGCCUUGAAGAGCUCCCAGGAUUAUAAUCUGGAAAUACCAGAAAUUAAACAGGGAUCCCAGGAAUCUGUUUUGGCAACUUCUGAAGCUUUGAAGAGCUCCCAGGAUUAUAAUCUGGAAAUGCCAGAAAUUAAACAGGGAUCCCAGGAAUCUGUUUUGGCAACUUCUGAGGCUUUGAAGAGCUCCCAGGAUUAUAAACUGGAAAUGCCAGAAAUUAAACAGGGAUCCCAAGAGUCUACUUUGGCAACCUCUGAGGCUUUGAAGAGCUCCCAGGAUUAUAAACUGGAAAUGCCAGAAAUUAAACAGGGAUCCCAAGAAUCUGCUUUGGCAUCCCCCCUCUUGACGAGGUCAAGGGGCUCUGUAAAGCUAACACCAGCAAUCAAGGAAGCAUCUCAAGAGUCUGUUUUCCAGGGUUCUACACUGGAAACACCAGAAAUUAAAGAGGGUUCCCAAGAGUGUGUUAAGAAAUCAAUGGACUUGCAAGCAUCUUCACUGGCAACGUCACGAGGGUCUGUUGUGGCAACCACUGCAGUAAAGACUAUAUCAGAACAGGCUUCAGUGGCUGCGUUUUUGGGAAAUGAAAGUUCUCAAGAAGAAAAGAAACAAGCCAACAUGCCAAGGUGUGUAUCUAAUCAUAAUACAUUCAUUGACAAAGAAAUAGUCCCACCCAGAAGAAUGUAAUGUUAUCGGAAAGGAACAUAAAGGUUGCCAGAAAAUGUAAACUGGUUUGGGCAUCUGUUGACAUAUUAUUGAGCAACACAUAAAGAAGUAGUGCAUUGAAUAACUCACGAAACAUAGCAUUCCAUCUCAGUAUGAAGAAGUAGAGGUUCCUAACGUUGUCCUACAGUAACUCCUCUCAUGCAGCUUGAAUAUUCUUACACAAUUCCUGCUAAUGUUGUGGCAAGUGGCAAGUCCAAUAGCGUUCAACACAUUUUUAAUCAGAAUAGGCCAGCCUGAUGAGGUGGCCAUGGCGUAGUAUCUGUGUCUUAAAUGCAGGCUCUUGAGAUGGCAGCAGUAUCUGAAUGAGCAUUGUCCUGUUGUUGGAAUAGUGCACCAUAAUGCGCGUUCAGAAAAUGUAGAUCCACUGGUUGCCUCAUUAAAGAGCCACUAAACCGUAAUCCAUAUUUUUCCCGUAGACACACCACAACAUGUAGAUCAGUCAAUCAAUAAUACCACCCCCUUUGCUGAUGUCCAACUAUCUGCAUCUCACUGCUAGAAGAGGCCGAUCAGCUCUCCCUCUUCCCUAAACUCAUACAUCACCCAGUGCCCCUCCCAAACGACCCCUCCUAUUUUUUUUUUUUUGCGUUUUUUUUUUUUAUUUGAGCUGAGUGUGGAGUCAGCUAAAAUCAGGGGGUUUAGUGCCCCUUUAAGAACCUCAUAACAUUACAUUACAUAAAAUAACAUUGGUCUAUAUUACACAU
Molecule: long non-coding RNA, 3805 nt
Filed under: Astyanax mexicanus (Mexican tetra)
Lineage: Eukaryota; Metazoa; Chordata; Actinopteri; Characiformes; Acestrorhamphidae
Description: lncRNA (ENSAMXG00005016980.1)
Source: RNAcentral